This 585-nucleotide ribosomal RNA is filed under the name Triticum aestivum (bread wheat). Its description in RNAcentral is "partial small subunit ribosomal RNA". Lineage: Eukaryota; Viridiplantae; Streptophyta; Magnoliopsida; Poales; Poaceae. The record is from RNAcentral.
AUGCUUAUUGACCGAUUUCCCGGAGAAGAAAAGGUCUAUUACAGUUUUGACUCAUUGGUUGAUGAUCCACAUAAUCACUAUCAACCUGAGUUCCUAAAUUCACUCACACCUAAUGGCCUUCCUCUUCAUAUUCUCAGAUUGAAGAUCAACUGCCCUGUUAUUUUGAUUCGCAACCUUGAUCCUUCUAAUGGUUUAUGCAAUGGUACAAGGCUUAUCAUUAAGGCAUUUCAAGAGAACGCUAUUGAUGCAGAAAUUAUUGGCGGACAAUAUGCUGGGAAGCGAGUGUUCCUUCCACGAAUUCCUCUCUAUCCUUCAGAGGAUGAUGUUCUCCCCUUCAAGUUUAAAAGAAAGCAAUUUCCAAUUCGGCUUAGUUUUGCCAUGACAAUCAACAAAGCCCAGGGUCAAACCAUCCCAAAUGUUGGCAUCUAUCUUCCUGAGCCGGUGUUCUCUCAUGGCCAACUCUAUGUCGCUCUGUCUAGAGGGAUAUCAAGACAAACAACUAGAGUACUUGCAAAGCCAAAUAAGGAUAUUGACCCAUCAGGGAAAAGCACAAAAAAUAUUGUCUACAGGGAUGUUUUGGUAUAA